UACGAAGGGGGCUAGCGUUGUUCGGAAUUACUGGGCGUAAAGCGCGCGCAGGCGGCUAUCCAAGUCAGUGGUGAAAGCCCGGAGCUCAACUCCGGAACUGCCAUUGAAACUGUUUAGCUUGAGGACUGGAGAGGAGACUGGAAUUUACGGUGUAGCGGUGAAAUGCGUAGAUAUCGUAAGGAAGACCAGUGGCGAAGGCGGGUCUCUGGACAGUUCCUGACGCUGAGGCACGAAGGUCAGGGGAGCAAACGGG
Molecule: ribosomal RNA, 253 nt
Filed under: uncultured bacterium
Lineage: Bacteria
Description: partial 16S ribosomal RNA
Rfam family: Bacterial small subunit ribosomal RNA
Source: RNAcentral